CGUGUUGGGCACCUGGCUUCAGAACUGGAUAUCCUCUAAAGAAAGGUGAAAGCCAGAAAGUUGGACCACAAACAGCACUGUUUGAAGCCUCCAAAGACCCUGACUAGUUUAAGAAGUGGUAAAAGAAAAUACUGAGGAAAUAAUUUGUGUUAAGGAACAGCUCUUAUGUAUGUGAGCUGCAUUUUCUUCCAGAGGCUAUAAAAAACACAUUCUCUGGAUUGUGUAAUGGAGUCCCACGUGAUGUCACUGCACUGAAAAGAGUAAGCAAUAAAUUAAGACCUGGGCCUGUGCCUCUUUUAUGGCCUGGAUGCCCAGACCAUCUGUCGAAGAAAGACAAAGAGAAAAGAAAACCUCCUCAAAAGAGAAACCAGCCCAACUCUCGAAGAAAAAGAACAGUGAAGGACAGCAGUGAUGUUGAGUCUGCUGAUAAUCCUGAUCCCUUAGCAUUGAACAAUCAGAAGAGAAAAUCACCUAAAGAUGACGAGAAAACUAGCUCACAACCAAUACCAUAAUACAGCAUUCAGCCUUGAAGGCCAAUUGAAGAAACUUCUGGAAGCAAAACACAAUUCAAAUGUACAAUUUUCAAAAUUUGAUCUGUUCCCCUUUAGCAAACUACUUCAUUCUUGCAAUCACAAUUCACUAAACAAUAAUUAUAUUUUGCAUACUUUUUUGUUAUUUGUUUCUUAGUUAGUAGAGUGUAGAGUAGUUAGUAGAGUAGUUAGUAGAGUUAGUAUGCGUUACGUUAGUAAUGCAUCAUAUUUUGGGUUAUUAUAAAGAAGAUUUGAAAAUGACAAAAUGGUAUUCUUAGUCAAGAUCCGUGAGCUCUUUGCCCAACCAUAUGCAAAAAAUCAACAAGAGGUUAUCGCAGACGAAAUUUACAGCAUUGCCAAUGAACAUAUGUCUGUUUAUUAAUCUUAACACCAGAAUUUUAUGCGAUGGUUUGGAGGGUUAUAAUUUGUUGGGAAUCGAUGACUAGGCAUCGCUCCAAAUAAACCAUUUUAUUCGGAAUUUUGCGAAAAAACGAAUAAAAAAAACCA
Molecule: long non-coding RNA, 1037 nt
Organism: Daphnia pulicaria
Lineage: Eukaryota; Metazoa; Arthropoda; Branchiopoda; Diplostraca; Daphniidae
Exons: 3
Source: RefSeq, a predicted model, not a curated record